Molecule: long non-coding RNA, 384 nt
Filed under: Rattus norvegicus (Norway rat)
Lineage: Eukaryota; Metazoa; Chordata; Mammalia; Rodentia; Muridae
Description: long non-coding RNA NONRATT023710
Source: RNAcentral
AAUUUCUCCUAGCUGUGAAGUAGACUUGCCUUUCCCCACAUAUCAUGGCAACUUAAAUAUCAGUGGGGCUGAGCCAGGGCGUAUUUGUGUACAAAUCAUGCAGGUGCUUUUGUUGGUUGGCAAGAUAGAACCACUCUGCCCUUGCCGGAAGGAGCAUGUGGCAAGCUCUUGUUCUGAGGGCCGAGAGUGAGAGAGAAAUUGGCCCCGUUACUGGGGCACGCCCCUGCUCAGGGCUGGGCUUCCUCUCUGACGUGCUCUCGUGUGUUUCAGCACUGGAGAGGGGGCUCUUGAAAACGCUGCAGAAGCUGGAUGAGUACCUGAAUUCUCCCCUCCCUGACGAAAUCGAUGAGAACAGCAUGGAGGACAUCAAAUCGUCCACACGCA